Xenopus tropicalis (tropical clawed frog) is the source of this 846-nucleotide long non-coding RNA. RefSeq lists it as uncharacterized. The transcript has 3 exons. The record is from RefSeq and is a predicted model, not a curated record. Lineage: Eukaryota; Metazoa; Chordata; Amphibia; Anura; Pipidae.
AUUUAAUGUGAGCGCCAACUCAUUGUGGUUAAUUACUGAUGUAAGGAUUAGGUGCGAGGAAGGCAGCUCAUUGACCCAAAUUAUCUGAUUCUGGUACUUAACACUUUAAGAGGUGGGGAGAAGGGGGGAAAAAUCCUGCUUUUUCUUUUUUUUCCCCCUCUUCUCUUAAUCAGUAUUGACAGGGCCAGGACCUAUUAGCCGCAAUUGGGCCUGCACCCCCGCACCCACAUCCCAGAUUCUGGAAUUAGUUUAAUUGAUUUGCGCCUCCCGUGCCACCCCCCGUUUAUGCUAUCAAAUGGUGUGGUCCAGGCAUAUAUAUAUUUGCUUUGGCGGGCUUACUGCGCAGAUACAAAAUGGCGGACGGCUGCGCAUGACGCGCUAUCAUACUGCAUCGCACCGUGGGACACAGCUUACCAACACACACACACCGCGUUACCACCAGCUUCCCCGGACCUCCUUCCGCACCAGCACCGCUACCACCACUGCUACCACCACCCAGCUGCUCUCCAUCCUGUGCCCUGGCAGCGCUUACUCCCUCCCUGGACGCACUCACCACCUGGCCCUGGCCUGUCCAAGUGCUGCACACAACAAGUAAUAUUCAGUUCUGUUUCAUCUGCUCAUGUCUGGUGUAGAUAAUAGUGAGUCGGAUCUGAACACACACGUUGCCAAGGUUACACACCUGGCCAAAGUUAAGUUUACACUAAGAUUGAAGUCAAAAAGAAGAACAAUCAGAGAGUCAUCGUGGAGAAAAUGUCUAAAACAUUCUCAUACAGGAGACAUGAAGUUGUCAACCUCACUCCACCAAUUAAAGAUUUACAGCAGAGGUGGCCUGCUUUAUUCACUGAA